CAGAAACUGAAGGACUUCCCGAAGGGCCUGACCUUCUCCUUCGCCAAGAAACCCGAAUUCGCCCACCUCAAUCGAGACCCCGAAAUCGUCCCAGCGGAUGGCAGGAUGAUUUUCCUCUACGUGAUGACCAGCGACUCUUGCUCUCAGUACAUCAACGCCACUUUCGUCAACGGAUUCGACAAAAAGGACGAAUUCGUAGCGAUGGAACACCCGAUGGAGCACACCCUCGACACAGCCUGGAGGAUGAUCUACGAGAGGAAGAUGCCAGUCUGGAUUCUCGUCCACGCCUUCCCCGAUCACGACAAGG
Molecule: long non-coding RNA, 307 nt
Organism: Penaeus indicus
Lineage: Eukaryota; Metazoa; Arthropoda; Malacostraca; Decapoda; Penaeidae
Exons: 3
Source: RefSeq, a predicted model, not a curated record